CCUCCUUUUAUAGGUUUCUUUUUGUCUGCUAGUGACGUGCCAAAAGAACGAGUACCAGUAGACCAUCUGUCCCUGCCACGCUGAUACAGACGUACGUGGGAAUCAAAUCUCUGCCCCAUGCGUAACGACCUCUGAUUCUCCCUGGGCACGGAUGGGCGGGUCUGCAAGAUGAACGGAUGGGUCUUACUCUGGUUCCUGGUUGGGCCGGCCAGGCUGGGCCGGGUGAAGGGAACAAGAUUGGGCUGAAGAGGGGCUCCCCUACGGAACUGGAGAAUGGGCCAUCCCGGUUGAGGCGCGUCAGGAGGGAGCCCGUCCUUACCAUUUGAAUAAACCAGACCUUAUCCAUACUAAGGGCUCUAAGAUGUCCGAG
This 370-nucleotide long non-coding RNA is filed under the name Manihot esculenta (cassava). RNAcentral's name for it is "long non-coding RNA (MESC_LNC009911)". Lineage: Eukaryota; Viridiplantae; Streptophyta; Magnoliopsida; Malpighiales; Euphorbiaceae. The record is from RNAcentral.